CGGAAUGUAGCACAGCUUGGUAGUGCGUUCGCUUCGGGAGCGAAAGGUCGCCGGUUCGAAUCCGACCAUUCCGACCA
RNAcentral lists this transfer RNA (77 nucleotides) under Erysipelotrichia bacterium. Its description in RNAcentral is "tRNA-Pro". It matches the Rfam family "tRNA". From Rfam's summary of the family: Transfer RNA (tRNA) molecules are approximately 80 nucleotides in length. Their secondary structure includes four short double-helical elements and three loops (D, anti-codon, and T loops). The record is from RNAcentral. Lineage: Bacteria; Bacillati; Bacillota; Erysipelotrichia.